ACCUCGUGGCAUCUUUCACGGGGUAGACCACACGCAGAGCUGGAGAAGGUGAUUACUUAUGCUGCAUGAUGUGAGGAGUGGGGAGGUCCCCAGCUCCUAAACCUAUCACCUUUUCUCCAUCCCACCUGCUUGUCACAGUGACCAAAGUCCACCUGCUUAGCUCUAUUCCUAUGGGCUGAAAAAGCCUUUUGGUCAUCAGGAGUUUCUUAUUAAGAGGCAUGUGUUCAAGGCUUUAUGAGCUAACACCAGUAGAGAGCAGACCACACUAGUGAGGAGGUGUGGAGAGGGGCGGCAGGGGGCCAAGGACGGCUUUGCUUCUCAACAGCUGUGCGGAAGACUGAACUUCGGUAUUGCAACUGGCAGAAGGGGACAUCCUGCUUCCAGAUGCACUGACAGCUUUCGUUCCACACUACCUUUUCCAAGAUGAUCGUCUGAUGAACAGCCUUGGAAGAUAGACAUAGUGUUUUCCUCUGGAGCGGAAGGGCAAACCUGGACGGGGACACACACGCUGGGAGAACACCACGUGAAGAUGAAGACAGACUGUGGCGAUGCGCCUACAAGCCAAGGAAUGUCAAAGAUUGCCAGCAAACCGCCAGAAGCCAGGGGAGAGGCAAUUUUGUGUGUGUAUUUUUUUUUCAACUGAUGCCUGCACCUCACCCAAGUCCAUUAAGAAUCUCUGGAGUUGGAGCCCGGACAUCAACAUUAAACAAUCGCCACAAAACUUCCCAGAGUCUGCACUAUUAUGAACCGUGUAAUUGCAGGUUUGAAGGGAGCUGUCCAGUCCACACUACAGAGCACGUGCUUAAGCCCUCAGCAGGACCCUCCGUCCCCCAAAUCAGCAACCAAAACAAUGAGGUUUCAUCUACAGGAAACAAAUCCAGGACCACCCCAUUUGAUUUUCAGGAUGAGCCCAAUGGCCGCCCCUUCGAACAGCCCAGGAGCUGUUCUGCUAGUUUUAAACCAAGACGUGAUUAGCGGUUAGUGGACCUUGAAAGACAUCUUUAUUUAUGACUCUUGCAGAUCACUUCUGCCUUGAUAUCGAUCUCUUCCAAUCUUCUAUUCCGUCCUUUGAAAUUCACAGAACACAGCGGGGCAACUCAUUGCCUGCAGCAUUCACUUUGUUUAAAGCUCAUUUCCUUUCGCAAUUAAUGUAGUGAUAUUUCAUUGUAAUUGUUAUUUGGUUCACUUUUCUUUUAGACCAGAGGCUUGAAAUAAAUGAGAGCAUGACAUUUUAAAGACAGGUGGCAGGUAGACAAGAACCUAGUUUAAAAAUGAGUUCAAAACUUCUAACAAGGGAUCAAUGCCAGGCUUAAUCAGUAUGUUUAUCAAGAAGUUGUAAUGCUUGAUAUGAUGGCACAAGAAAAAAACCCGAAAUAUCAGAUUUGGGAAUUUUAGGAAGUUGACAAUUUUGUUGUUGAGAAUGGAUAUUUUUGAAAGUAUCUUUAGGAGGUCUCCAUGUUCAGAAAAGAGGAAUUAAAUAAUAUUACAGUUUAUUCAAUGGGUACCGUUUACAUUUUUGAUCUCUUUCCUCAGUUUGAGGCACCCAAUAUUAUUGUUCACUUUCAAGAUGCUAAGUCUGGUAGGGGGCGUAGAGAUGAAUGACACAUCUCUGUGCUCCCGGGGCUCAAAGUCUGGGGGAGGCUGCAAAUUGAUAAGAGAGGGAGCCACAUCUCAGAAGUAGCUGAGGUUCUAAAGUUAGUCCACAGACAAAAACUGCAUAGAGUCAAAACAAGAUCAAGCUAAGUGUCAUUUCAACAGGUCCAGCUCAGCCUGUGAUUUCUCUAGCACCAGAAAAGAUUACUGCUCUUUCAUUUACGUUCCAGAUAGAGAAGUUGGCUUGUAUUUGGGGCCACGUGGUUCUAAAAGCACAGGCCUUUAAACGCUAGAAUGAUUCCCGGAGAAGGAAGAUGCCCACAGUAUAAGAGGCACAUGAGGACAACAGAUGCGUAUGUCCUUCCGCACGUUCCCUCUGAGAUGCAUCUGCCUCGAGAGUGGACCGGCAGGGGAAAUUUCCUGUAUUGUCUCAUUGUUCUUGUU
This is a long non-coding RNA of Equus caballus (horse), 2037 nucleotides long. NCBI's taxonomy places the organism in Eukaryota, Metazoa, Chordata, Mammalia, Perissodactyla, Equidae. The record is from Ensembl.